GGGGUAAUAGUUAAAAAAUAACUUUUAAUUUGCAAUUAAAGAUUAUUCUCAAUAAGAAUUUUCCUCA
Molecule: transfer RNA, 67 nt
Filed under: Aquarius paludum
Lineage: Eukaryota; Metazoa; Arthropoda; Insecta; Hemiptera; Gerridae
Description: tRNA-Ala
Source: RNAcentral